Molecule: ribosomal RNA, 162 nt
Filed under: Taraxacum stenocephalum
Lineage: Eukaryota; Viridiplantae; Streptophyta; Magnoliopsida; Asterales; Asteraceae
Description: 5.8S ribosomal RNA
Rfam family: 5.8S ribosomal RNA
About the family: 5.8S ribosomal RNA (5.8S rRNA) is a component of the large subunit of the eukaryotic ribosome. It is transcribed by RNA polymerase I as part of the 45S precursor that also contains 18S and 28S rRNA.
Source: RNAcentral
AAACGACUCUCGGCAACGGAUAUCUCGGCUCACGCAUCGAUGAAGAACGUAGCAAAAUGCGAUACUUGGUGUGAAUUGCAGAAUCCCGUGAACCAUCGAGUUUUUGAACGCAAGUUGCGCCCUAAGCCAUCCGGUUGAGGGCACGCCUGCCUGGGCGCCACG